This is a non-coding RNA of Acanthosepion pharaonis, 114 nucleotides long. NCBI's taxonomy places the organism in Eukaryota, Metazoa, Mollusca, Cephalopoda, Sepiida, Sepiidae. The record is from the annotation of a GenBank genome assembly.
UUACGUCCACAUCAUGACGAAAAACCGGUUUCCGUAUGAUCACCGAAGUUAAGCUAAGUCAAGCCUGGUCAGUAUCUAGAUGGGUUACUGCUUGAGAAUAUCAUGUAUUGUAAG